This 20-nucleotide microRNA is filed under the name Zea mays. RNAcentral's name for it is "microRNA miR-3165". The record is from RNAcentral. Lineage: Eukaryota; Viridiplantae; Streptophyta; Magnoliopsida; Poales; Poaceae.
AAUGGUGAUGAAGGAUGGCU